This is a long non-coding RNA of Peromyscus eremicus (cactus mouse), 323 nucleotides long. RefSeq lists it as uncharacterized. The transcript is spliced from 2 exons. The record is from RefSeq and is a predicted model, not a curated record. Lineage: Eukaryota; Metazoa; Chordata; Mammalia; Rodentia; Cricetidae.
AGAUCUUUGAACCUCAUGGGGACAGAGCAGCAAGCAGAUGUUCUAUUUAGGGAUGGACACUUUCAGGUCACAUAUUUUCUGCAUUAAUCACCAUCUACUUUGAGGAUUAAAGCUGGAUAUCAACAACCAAAGAAACAUCAGAAAGCUUACAAACUCAUGGACACUGAACAACUCACUACUGAACGAAAAAUGGGACAAGAAAAGUGACUUUCCAUAAUCAAAUGAAAACAAAAACACAAUGUACCAAACUUAUGGGUGUUUGUAAAUCUCAUACUGGUGAUUUAACAGCACACCUGUGAGGUGAUAUUUUAUUUGUGCUGAAA